UCCGGCUUAUCACCGGCGGUUUCUUUAGAGUGCCCAACUAAAUGAUGGCAACUAAAGACGAGGGUUGCGCUCGUUGCGGGACUUAACCCAACAUCUCACGACACGAGCUGACGACAGCCAUGCACCACCUGUUUGGAGCCCAAAAGGACCUCACAUCUCUGUGAGUUUUCUCCAAAUGUCAAACCCAGGUAAGGUUCUUCGCGUUGCAUCGAAUUAAACCACAUGCUCCGCUGCUUGUGCGGGCCCCCGUCGAUUCCUUUGAGUUUUAGCCUUGCGGCCGUACUCCCCAGGCGGGGCACUUAACGCGUUAGCUUCGGCACGGAGGGAGUCGACACCCCCCACACCUAGUGCCCAUCGUUUACAGCGUGGACUAC
RNAcentral lists this unclassified non-coding RNA (374 nucleotides) under uncultured bacterium. RNAcentral's name for it is "contains 16S-23S intergenic spacer region". The record is from RNAcentral.